RNAcentral lists this ribosomal RNA (331 nucleotides) under uncultured bacterium. RNAcentral describes it as "bacterial SSU rRNA". It matches the Rfam family "Bacterial small subunit ribosomal RNA", at positions 8 to 334 of the family's 1533-position model. The record is from RNAcentral.
AGGGUUCGAUUAUGGCUCAGGACGAACGCUGGCGGCGCGCCUAACACAUGCAAGUCGAACGAGCGAGAGAGAGCUUGCUUUCUCGAGCGAGUGGCGAACGGGUGAGUAACGCGUGAGGAACCUGCCUCAAAGAGGGGGACAACAGUUGGAAACGACUGCUAAUACCGCAUAAGCCCACGGGUCGGCAUCGACCAGAGGGAAAAGGAGCAAUCCGCUUUGAGAUGGCCUCGCGUCCGAUUAGCUAGUUGGUGAGGUAACGGCCCACCAAGGCAACGAUCGGUAGCCGGACUGAGAGGUUGAACGGCCACAUUGGGACUGAGACACGGCCCAG